Molecule: ribosomal RNA, 223 nt
Filed under: uncultured bacterium
Lineage: Bacteria
Description: partial 16S ribosomal RNA
Rfam family: Bacterial small subunit ribosomal RNA
Source: RNAcentral
ACGCUCGACACCUACGAGAGGCAGCAGUAGGGAAUCUUCCACAAUGGACGCAAGUCUGAUGGAGCAACGCCGCGUGAGUGAAGAAGGUCUUCGGAUCGUAAAACUCUGUUGUUAGAGAAGAACACGAGUGAGAGUAACUGUUCAUUCGAUGACGGUAUCUAACCAGCAAGUCACGGCUAACUACGUGCCAGCAGCCGCGGUAAUCUGAGCGGGCUGGCAAGGC